GCCAAAAACACUGUCAGAGAUUUUACUGGUUCCUCUUCAAUAACCCCUUCUGACCAGCUAGAUAUUAGGUCCCUUUGAUAUGAAUGUGAUCCUAUCUGACAUCAUGUUAUCAAUUACAGAGAUGUUCAUGUGUCUGAUAAUUAUAUACAGUUUGCAGAAGCAAUUCCUUGUAGAGGUAGAGAUUUGAUCCCAUGUGUGAUUAUUUUUCCAUGACUUGUGCAAGCUCUGUGAAGCCUUUUUCAGUUUAUU
Pelobates cultripes (western spadefoot toad) is the source of this 249-nucleotide non-coding RNA. NCBI's taxonomy places the organism in Eukaryota, Metazoa, Chordata, Amphibia, Anura, Pelobatidae. The record is from the annotation of a GenBank genome assembly.